AAUAGAUACCCAGGUAGUCCACGCCGUAAACGAUGUCGACUUGGAGGUUGUUCCCUUGAGGAGUGGCUUCCGGAGCUAACGCGUUAAGUCGACCGCCUGGGGAGUACGGCCGCAAGGUUAAAACUCAAAUGAAUUGACGGGGGCCCGCACAAGCGGUGGAGCAUGUGGUUUAAUUCGAUGCAACGCGAAGAACCUUACCUACUCUUGACAUCCACGGAACUUUUCAGAGAUGAAUUGGUGCCUUCGGGAACCGUGAGACAGGUGCUGUAUGGCUGUCGUCAGCUCGUGUUGUGAAAUGUUGGGUUAAGUCCCGCAACGAGCGCAACCCUUAUCCUUUGUUGCCAGCGGUUAGGCCGGGAACUCAAAGGAACUGCCAGUGAUAAACUGGAGGAAGGUGGGGAUGACGUCAAGUCAUCAUGGCCCUUACGAGUAGGGCUACACACGUGCUACAAUGGCGCAUACAAAGAGAAGCGACCUCGCGAGAGCAAGCGAACCUCAUAAAGUGCGUCGUAGUCCGGAUUGGAGUCUGCAACUCGACUCC
This 541-nucleotide ribosomal RNA is filed under the name uncultured bacterium. RNAcentral's name for it is "bacterial SSU rRNA". It matches the Rfam family "Bacterial small subunit ribosomal RNA", at positions 777 to 1319 of the family's 1533-position model. The record is from RNAcentral.